RNAcentral lists this ribosomal RNA (460 nucleotides) under uncultured bacterium. RNAcentral's name for it is "partial 16S ribosomal RNA". It matches the Rfam family "Bacterial small subunit ribosomal RNA", at positions 338 to 795 of the family's 1533-position model. The record is from RNAcentral.
CCUACGGGUGGCAGCAGUGAGGAAUAUUGGUCAAUGGACGAGAGUCUGAACCAGCCAAGUAGCGUGAAGGAUGACUGCCCUAUGGGUUGUAAACUUCUUUUAUAUGGGAAUAAAAUGUUCCACGUGUGGGAUUUUGUAUGUACCAUAUGAAUAAGGAUCGGCUAACUCCGUGCCAGCAGCCGCGGUAAUACGGAGGAUCCGAGCGUUAUCCGGAUUUAUUGGGUUUAAGGGGAGCGUAGGUGGAUUGUUAAGUCAGUUGUGAAAGUUUGCGGCUCAACCGUAAAAUUGCAGUUGAAACUGGCAGUCUUGAGUACAGUAGAGGUGGGCGGAAUUCGUGGUGUAGCGGUGAAAUGCUUAGAUAUCACGAAGAACUCCGAUUGCGAAGGCAGUUCACUGGACUGCAACUGACACUGAGGCUGGAAAGUGUGGGUAUCAAACAGGAUUAGAUACCCCUGUAGAC